AUGUUAAUGGGUGAAAUACUUUUGUUCAACAAUUAUUUCAUGUCUUGUCUUUCAUUUCUCUUUUCAUUAUCACAUAAUCUUUAAUAUUUUUUUGUUUUGACUUUGGACUAACCAAGUCUGUUCCUCAGUCACCAUCCGAAUAAUUUUUCUCUUAUAAGCAUUUCAAGGCUAUCCCAGGAUGAGCUUCUGGCCGGCUAUCCCACAUACGAAAGUCCGUGGGGGACUGUCCUAGGCAUAAGCUCCUGACGGGCUGUCCCAGACAUGAGCUCC
RNAcentral lists this long non-coding RNA (270 nucleotides) under Elaeis guineensis (African oil palm). RNAcentral describes it as "long non-coding RNA (EGUI_LNC030870)". The record is from RNAcentral. Lineage: Eukaryota; Viridiplantae; Streptophyta; Magnoliopsida; Arecales; Arecaceae.